RNAcentral lists this ribosomal RNA (875 nucleotides) under uncultured archaeon. Its description in RNAcentral is "bacterial SSU rRNA". It matches the Rfam family "Archaeal small subunit ribosomal RNA", at positions 28 to 912 of the family's 1478-position model. The record is from RNAcentral.
UGCUAUCAGAGUGAGAUUAAGCCAUGCGAGUCAACGUAGCAAUACGUGGCAUACGGCUCAGUAACACGUAGUCAACAUAACCAAAGGACGUGGAUAAACUCGGGAAACUGAGGCUAAACCGCGAUAGAUCAAGAUAUCUGGAAUGGUUUUUGAUCAAAAUCUAUAUGGCCUUUGGAUUGGACUGCGUCCGAUCAGGCUGUUGGUGAGGUAAUGGCCCACCAAACCUAUAACCGGUACGGGCUCUGAGAGGAGGAGCCCGGAGAUGGGUACUGAGAUAAGGACCCAGGCCCUAUGGGGCGCAGCAGGCGCGAAACCUCUGCAAUAGGCGAAAGCUUGACAGGGUUACUCUGAGUGACUUUCGUUAAGAAAGUCUUUUGACACCUCUAAAAAUGGUGUAGAAUAAGGGGUGGGCAAGUCUGGUGUCAGCCGCCGCGGUAAUACCAGCACCCCGAGUGGUCGGGACGAUUAUUGGGCCUAAAGCAUCCGUAGCCGGCCUUACAAGUCCUCCGUUAAAUCCAGCUGCUUAACAGAUGGGCUGCGGAGGAUACUAUAAGACUAGGAGGCAGGAGAGGCAAGCGGUACUCAGUGGGUAGGGGUAAAAUCCGUUGAUCCAUUGAAGACCACCAGUGGCGAAGGCGGCUUGCCAGAAUGCGCUCGACGGUGAGGGAUGAAAGCUGGGGGAGCAAACCGGAUUAGAUACCCGGGUAGUCCCAGCUGUAAACGAUGCAGACUCGGUGAUGGACUAGCUUCAUGCUGGUCCAGUGCCGCAGGGAAGCCGUUAAGUCUGCCGCCUGGGUAGUACGGUCGCAAGACUGAAGCUAAAGGAAUUGGCGGGGGAGCACCACAAGGGGUGAAGCCUGCGGUUCAAUUGGAUC